This 27-nucleotide small RNA is filed under the name Bombyx mori (domestic silkworm). Its description in RNAcentral is "ovarian small RNA-14650". Lineage: Eukaryota; Metazoa; Arthropoda; Insecta; Lepidoptera; Bombycidae. The record is from RNAcentral.
CUCAAGGUCACCCAAAAAGCAAUGGAG